RNAcentral lists this unclassified non-coding RNA (218 nucleotides) under uncultured Tomentella. Its description in RNAcentral is "sequence contains ITS2". The record is from RNAcentral. Lineage: Eukaryota; Fungi; Basidiomycota; Agaricomycetes; Thelephorales; Thelephoraceae.
ACACCUCAACCCUCAUGGUUUGCCAUGAUGGGCUUGGACUUUGGGGGUCUUGCUGGAUUGUGGUCAGCUCCCCUUAAAUGAAUCAGCUUGCCAGUGUUUGGUGGCAUCACAGGUGUGAUAACUAUCUACGCUUGUGGUUUUACAUCAGAUAACCUUCAGCAAUGGAGGUUCACUGGAGCUCAUAAAGGUCUCUCAUCUGCAGGGACAGUUCUUUGAAU